RNAcentral lists this long non-coding RNA (236 nucleotides) under Elaeis guineensis (African oil palm). RNAcentral's name for it is "long non-coding RNA (EGUI_LNC018044)". The record is from RNAcentral. Lineage: Eukaryota; Viridiplantae; Streptophyta; Magnoliopsida; Arecales; Arecaceae.
GUGGGUCGUUUCUUGGUCUAAUAAGAGUACAAUAAUAUUUUGUACAAAAUUGAUGUGGAAUAUCGUAAAAAUUAUAGUUGAAAAUAUUAUAUACAAUAGUUAGUUGCUUUAAUAAUACCGUCGCUUGUGUGAAGAAUAUUUUAUUUUUUAUAUUAUAUUAAAGUGUUUGCGACGUGAUGCCUCCAUCAAGAGAGUGGUGCUUUUAGCGUUCGGCCAAAAUUCUUGCACAUGGGUCC